GGCUACCAUGCAGUCGAGGGGCAGCAUUUCAGUUUGCUUGCAAACUGGAGAUGGCGACCGGCGCACGGGUGAGUAACACGCUAUCCNACCUGCCGAUAACUCGGGGAUAGCCUUUCGAAAGAAAGAUUAAUACCCGAUGGUAUAAUCAGACCGCAUGGUCUUAUUAUUAAAGAAUUUCGGUUAUCGAUGGGGAUGCGUUCCAUUAGGCAGUUGGUGAGGUAACGGCUCACCAAACCUUCGAUGGAUAGGGGUUCUGAGAGGAAGGUCCCCCACAUUGGAACUGAGACACGGUCCAAACUCNUACGGGAGGCAGCAGUGAGGAAUAUUGGUCAAUGGGCGCAGGCCUGAACCAGCCAAGUAGCGUGAAGGAUGACUGCCCUAUGGGUUGUAAACUUCUUUUAUAUGGGAAUAAAGUUUUCCACGUGUGGAAUUUUGUAUGUACCAUAUGAAUAAGGAUCGGCUAACUCCGUGCCAGCAGCCGCGGUAAUACGGAGGAUCCGAGCGUUAUCCGGAUUUAUUGGGUUUAAAGGGAGCGUAGGUGGACAGUUAAGUCAGUUGUGNAAAGUUUGCGGCUCAACCGUAAAAUUGCAGUUGAUACUGGCUGUCUUGAGUACAGUAGAGGUGGGCGGAAUUCGUGGUGUAGCGGUGAAAUGCUUAGAUAUCACGAAGAACUCCGAUUGCGAAGGCAGCUCACUGGACUGCAACUGACACUGAUGCUCGAAAGUGUGGGUAUCAAACAGGAUUAGAUACCCUGGUAGUCCACACAGUAAACGAUGAAUACUCGCUGUUUGCGAUAUACAGUAAGCGGCCAAGCGAAAGCAUUAAGUAUUCCACCUGGGGAGUACGCCGGCAACGGUGAAACUCAAAGGAAUUGACGGGGGCCCGCACAACCGAAGGAACAUGUGGUUUAAUUCGAUGAAACGCGAGGAACCUUACCCGGGCUUAAAUUGCAUUUGAAUANUNUGGAAACAGNNUAGCCGCAAGGCAAAUGUGAAGGUGCUGCAUGGUUGUCGUCAGCUCGUGCCGUGAGGUGUCGGCUUAAGUGCCAUAACGAGCGCAACCCUUAUCUUUAGUUACUAACAGGUCAUGCUGAGGACUCUAGAGAGACUGCCGUCGUAAGAUGUGAGGAAGGUGGGGAUGACGUCAAAUCAGCACGGCCCUUACGUCCGGGGCUACACACGUGUUACAAUGGGGGGUACAGAAGGCAGCUACCUGGUGACAGGAUGCUAAUCCCAAAAGCCUCUCUCAGUUCGGAUCGAAGUCUGCAACCCGACUUCGUGAAGCUGGAUUCGCUAGUAAUCGCGCAUCAGCCAUGGCGCGGUGAAUACGUUCCCGGGCCUUGUACACACCGCCCGUCAAGCCAUGAAAGCCGGGGGUACCUGAAGUACGUAACCGCAAGGAGCUCCUAG
RNAcentral lists this ribosomal RNA (1409 nucleotides) under bacterium NLAE-zl-P189. RNAcentral's name for it is "bacterial SSU rRNA". It matches the Rfam family "Bacterial small subunit ribosomal RNA". The record is from RNAcentral.